GGUAUGAUCUCUGAGUUGGAUAGUUGAUAAAAAGUACACUUUUCCAAAUUCAAGCAAUAAAAAUGGAAUGCUGAAUGCAAUAGUCAUAGAUAACACCAAAAUCGUAAGAUGUUUAUCGAGGGAAAUAUAAUUCGUCUUAAAAUAAGUAAUUAUCCUUUGUAUCUCGCACUUCGAGAUUACGAAGGUAGUUUCACUACUUUCAUGACUUGGACCACAAUUCAGAUCUAAAGUGAACGACUGGGGCGCCCCGUGACCAUUGUGGCGCUGCCCUAUUACUAUUUAUUCAUUCGUUAUUUUUGCGUAAGACAGAUCACACGUUUGGUGCAAGUGAACAGUUUCAACGUAUUUUAUUAAUAAUAAUAGAGAUAGAAAAUUAUCAAUGGGUAGUAGCAAGAAGAAAAGGUCAAGAAGUCGGGAUCGUUCAAGGGAAAGGACAUCCAAAAGACUUCACAAGUUAGAGGAUAAGAUGGAGGAGAUAGCAACGGGGUUUGCUGCAAUAAAGGAAGCCAUCUUGGGACCCCAAGGUACAGUCCAUGAGAUGCCGGAGCGAUCGUAAUCAGAUGUGGAAGGUAAUUGUAUCCAUUAUAACUACGGAUUAAUUGUGAACACGAGAUGCAAUCACAAUUUUCGUAAAUUAUACCUUCACGCCCGAGAAACUUUACAUGAUUAUAAAUAAUCAUGAUAAUUACAUCUGGGUAUGGUAGUGUUCAGUUUUAUCCGAAAGGUAAAAUGGGCCUUAUAUGGUAAUCUGACUUUAUCUGGAAGGUUAAGUAGAGAUUAGAAUUACUCUAAUUUACCCAAGAGGUAUAAUUCAGAGUAAACAAUAGACUACCUAAUCUUGUACAGUUGUUAAAUAAAUUAAUGUAUGGAAAUCUAUAAUAAUAUGAAUUAAAUGCAUUUUGAAUCCAGUCUUCAUAGGAGCUGGAUGCGGAUGCUCUCCGUAUCUUUGAGAGGAUCCGGUGCAGGAAGAACUUAAAUUCGUCCUGCACUCCAGUGUCGCUAAUCGUUGGAAAAAAAAAAUAUAUUUAUCCGAAGGUCUAAAGAGAGUCACUCCUAGGAAAAUACCCCAGGAAGGGCAAACUUUCGUUCGAGCCGCCGAUUUUGAAUGAAGAGGUGACAGUUAACUUAAAAGAAUCAGCUCUGAAGAGGGACAAGUACUCUGGUGCUACGCAGAAGCUAGCAAGAUCUGCUUGGCUGCUUUGACUCCAAAACAACUGCAUGUGCAUCUAAGCCGGUAAUAAAUGAACAGCAGCCUCAAAAACGAGCGGUUAAAUAAGUGAUGAGAGAUUGGAGCAAAGUUGGGAUGCGGCAAAAUUACCAAUUGAGAUCGACAGAUCUCAAACGAUUGCACGCAGAGCUUGCAGCUUACCGACGUUGUCAAAGCAGUGGGCGACGGCACUAGACAAAAGGCAAGCUAAUGAUUAUUUGUUCGGCGAUAAAUUAGUCGACAAGGUUAAGGAGAUCAAGGCCAUUGGGGAAGUCUGGAAGAGUUGAAGCAGACAUUUUACCCCUAGUCGAGCCAAUAUCGUCAGCAGAACCAACGGUCUCAGAACUGCUUCAGAAGAGAAUGUAAGUAUGUUUGUGGGGCGUCUAAAGUAUUUCUUAAAAGCCUGGAAAACAAUCACUGAGGACAGAAUUGUCAUUCAGUGUGUAGAAUGGUAUAAAAUACCUUUUAAAUUGGUCCCUGUACAAACUCGUCCACCACCUGACAGGGUUUGGUCGGGUCAGGAAAUGGCAUGCAUCCAAUCAGAGAUUAACAGACUGCUUUCGAUAGGCGCAUUUGAGAAAGUACAAGUGGUUCCUGGACAUUUCCUUUCACCGUUCCUUCUGGUCCCUAAGUCGGAUGGUCAACAGAGGUUCAUUCUGAACCUGAAGAAUCUAAAUACGUUUGUUGACGCAGAACACUUCAAACUCGAGGAUCUUAGAUCCGUUUACAGCCUUUCGGAGCGUGAUAUUUUUAUGGGUACAGUGGAUCUUAAAGAUGCUUACUUUCUGAUUUCAGUAUGGAAGUCACAUCGGAGAUUUCUGAGAUUCCUCUUUAAGGGGGUAUUCUGGUCUAGAGGCACGAAUUUUAGGUUGUAGCGUCUCUCA
Polistes dominula (European paper wasp) is the source of this 2091-nucleotide long non-coding RNA. The record is from RefSeq and is a predicted model, not a curated record. NCBI's taxonomy places the organism in Eukaryota, Metazoa, Arthropoda, Insecta, Hymenoptera, Vespidae.